AGAGUUUGAUCCUGGCUCAGAGUGAACGCUGGCGGCGUGCCUAACACAUGCAAGUCGAACGAGAACGGGUUAAAGUUUACUUUAACUGUCAGCUAAGUGGCGCACGGGUGAGUAAUAUAUAGUUAACCUGCCCCAAAGAAGAGAAUAAUUGUUGGAAACGACUUGUAACUCUCUAUAUGCCUUUAUUACAUAAGUAAGCAAGGGAAACAUUUAUGGCUUUGGGAUGGGACUGUACGGUAUCAGAUAGUUGGUGAGGUAAUGGCUCACCAAGUCAAUGACGCCUAACUGGUUUGAGAGGAUGAUCAGUCACACUGGAACUGAGACACGGUCCAGACUCCUACGGGAGGCAGCAGUGGGGAAUAUUGCACAAUGGAGGAAACUCUGAUGCAGCAACGCCGCGUGGAGGAUGACACAUUUCGGUGCGUAAACUCCUUUUAUAUGAGAAGAUAAUGACGGUAUCAUAUGAAUAAGCACCGGCUAACUCCGUGCCAGCAGCCGCGGUAAUACGGGGGGUGCAAGCGUUACUCGGAAUCACUGGGCGUAAAGAGCAUGUAGGCGGAUAGAUAAGUUGGAAGUGAAAUCCUAUGGCUUAACCAUAGAACUGCUUCCAAAACUGUCUAUCUAGAAUAUGGGAGAGGUAGAUGGAAUUUCUGGUGUAGGGGUAAAAUCCGUAGAGAUCAGAAGGAAUACCGAUUGCGAAAGGCGAUCUACUGGAACAUU
RNAcentral lists this ribosomal RNA (720 nucleotides) under uncultured bacterium. Its description in RNAcentral is "bacterial SSU rRNA". It matches the Rfam family "Bacterial small subunit ribosomal RNA", at positions 8 to 738 of the family's 1533-position model. The record is from RNAcentral.